UCCAAUGUGGUGUAGUGGCCAACAUUGCUGUCUUUCAUUAAGUUGCACAGCAGCCCGGGGUUCGAUUCCCCGCAUUGGAA
Molecule: non-coding RNA, 80 nt
Organism: Lentinula edodes (shiitake mushroom)
Lineage: Eukaryota; Fungi; Basidiomycota; Agaricomycetes; Agaricales; Omphalotaceae
Source: Rfam